GCCGAUUUUGCAGGUUUUCCUACUUACAAAGCAUGUAGAGGUCUGUAAUUUUUUAUCAUAGGUACACUUCAACUGUGAGAGAUGGAAUCUAAAACAAAAAUCCAGAAAAUCACAUUGUAUGAUUUUUAAGUAAUUAAUUUGCAUUAAUUAUGAUGAUCAUUGAUGCCCCACCGAGGUGAGAUCUUGCAUGGAGCCCCAGACUGAGGGUGAUUGACCCUCAUCUUGAACUUCAUCCAUUUUCCAAUAAUUGCUCCAACAGUUGUUGCCUUCUCACCAAGCUGCUUGCCUAUUGUCCUGUAGCCCAUCCCAGCCUUGUGCAGGUCUACAAUUUUAUCCCUGAUGUCCUUACACAGCUCUCUGGUCUUGGCCAUUGUGGAGAGGUUGGAGUCUGUUUGAUUGAGUGUGUGGACAUGUGUCUUUUAUACAGGUAACUAGUUCAAACAGGUGCAGUUAAUACAGGUAAUGAGUGGAGAACAGGAGGGCUUCUUAAAGAAAAACUAACAGGUCUGUGAGAGCCGGAAUUCUUACUGGUUGGUAGGUGAUCAAAUCCUUAUGUCAUGCAAUAAAAUGCUUUGUAAGUAGGAAAACCUGCAAAAACGGCAGUGUAUCAAAUACAUGUUCUCCCCACUGUAUGUCUAGUGUAGUCUGUCUGUCCAGUCUAUAUGUCUAGUGUAGUCUGUCUGUCUAGUGUAGUCUGUCUGUCCAGUCUAUAUGUCUAGUGUAGUCUGUCUGUCCAGUCUAUAUGUCUAGUCUGUCUGUCUGUCCAGUCUAUAUGUCUAGUGUAGUCUGUCUGUCCAGUCUAUAUGUCUAGUGUAGUCUGUCUGUCUGUCCAGUCUAUAUGUCUAGUGUAGUCUGUCUGUCCAGUCUAUAUGUCUAGUGUAGUCUGUCUGUCCAGUCUAUAUGUCUAGUGUAGUCUGUCUGUCUGUCCAGUCUGUCUGUCUAGUGUAGUCUGUCUGUCCAGUCUAUAUGUCUAGUGUAGUCUGUCUGUCUGUCCAGUCUGUCUGUCUAGUGUAGUCUGUCUGUCCAGUCUAGUCUAGUCUGUCUGUAUGUCCAGUCUAUAUGUCUAGUGUAGUCUCUGUCUGUCUGUCCAGUCUAUAUGUCUAGUGUAGUAGUCUGUCUGUCUGUCCAGUCUAUAUGUCUAGUGUAUGUAGUCUGUCUGUCCAGUCUAUAUAUCUAGUGUAGUCUGUCUGUCUGUUCAGUCUAUAUGUCUAGUGUAGUCUGUCUGUCUGUGCAGUCUGUCUGUCUAGUGUAGUCUCUGUCUGUCUGUCCAGUCUAUAUGUCAAGUGUAGUCUGUCUGUCUGUCCAGUCUAUAUGUCUAGUGUAG
This is a long non-coding RNA of Oncorhynchus tshawytscha (Chinook salmon), 1324 nucleotides long. Lineage: Eukaryota; Metazoa; Chordata; Actinopteri; Salmoniformes; Salmonidae. The record is from Ensembl.